GAAAAAAAUUAUGUAGUAACAUUAACUAUUCUCACGCGUUUUACUUUACUAUGACCAUGUGCCACAACGCAAUAGUAAAACUAACUGCGAUUCCAUUCAAACCCACUGAAUCAUAUAGGGUAGUUUACUGCAAACGUACUAGAACAUCCAUAGUAAAGCAAACCACACCAUUCAGUUCCCGCUGGCAUCACCGCAAGUUGUGAUUUUUUGUUUUUAAGAAGGUGACCGCUCCACGCUAUACGUUUAAUAAACUGAAAACAAGCCCGACAUCAUGUUGACUCCGUAUAAGAAUUCUUCAUCACUGAGGAGGGAAUUGACGGAUAUUCCCAAUCAAAGGGCUCCCACGGGUUCUGUUUCAGAUAAUAGAUAUAGGAUCCGGCUGAAGCAGUCAUAAAUUAAUGAUGUUGAGCUGAAUAACCAUCCUAAUCACCAUACGAAAAUGUCUGUACAUUUGAAAUCACAUUUUUCUUUAUUGCAACCCUCGGAGAAAAAAUGCCACAUGGAAAAAUGGAUGCUUGGCGAGGAGUUUCCACGAAUAUCCGCGAUUUUUUCUUGCAUCAACAGUUAUCAUCUGGUAGCAUUAACUUUAUUAUUAUUAUUUGUUAUGUGCGUGUUGCCUAUUUCUGAAUAAAGAUUGUUGAUCCUCUAUUUCUUCUGAAACACUGCUCAAAAAUCAGAAAAAUGAAUGAACGAUUGAAUAACAAUCUUUUCUAACGUGCAUAGUAGUAUGAAAUCGCAUCCAUGGUAAA
Armigeres subalbatus is the source of this 749-nucleotide long non-coding RNA. RefSeq lists it as uncharacterized. Lineage: Eukaryota; Metazoa; Arthropoda; Insecta; Diptera; Culicidae. The transcript is spliced from 3 exons. The record is from RefSeq and is a predicted model, not a curated record.